This 386-nucleotide ribosomal RNA is filed under the name uncultured bacterium. Its description in RNAcentral is "bacterial SSU rRNA". It matches the Rfam family "Bacterial small subunit ribosomal RNA", at positions 30 to 419 of the family's 1533-position model. The record is from RNAcentral.
AUUGAACGCUGGCGGAAUGCUUUACACAUGCAAGUCGAACGGCAGCACGGGGCAACCUGGUGGCGAGUGGCGAACGGUGAGUAAUACAUCGGAACGUGCCCAAUCGUGGGGGAUAACGUAGCGAAAGUUACGCUAAUACCGCAUACGAUCUACGGAUGAAAGCGGGGGAUCGCAAGACCUCGCGCGAAUGGAGCGGCCGAUGUCAGAUUAGGUAGUUGGUGGGGUAAAGGCUCACCAAGCCAACGAUCUGUAGCUGGUCUGAGAGGACGACCAGCCACACUGGAACUGAGACACGGUCCAGACUCCUACGGGAGGCAGCAGUGGGGAAUUUUGGACAAUGGGCGCAAGCCUGAUCCAGCCAUUCCGCGUGCAGGAUGAAGGCCUUC